Molecule: transfer RNA, 70 nt
Filed under: Camelus bactrianus (Bactrian camel)
Lineage: Eukaryota; Metazoa; Chordata; Mammalia; Artiodactyla; Camelidae
Also listed under: 2 other names
Rfam family: tRNA
About the family: Transfer RNA (tRNA) molecules are approximately 80 nucleotides in length.
Source: Rfam by way of RNAcentral
GGAGAGAGCUCAGGGGCAGAGCUCCUGCCCAGCAUGCACAAAGUCCUGGGUUCAAUUCCCAGUAACUCCA